AGGUUACUGCUAUCGGUGUUCGCCUAAGCCACGCGAGUCAUAUGUUCUUCGUGAACAUGGCGUACUGCUCAGUAACACGUGGAUAACCUGCCCUUGGGUCCGGCAUAACCCCGGGAAACUGGGGAUAAUUCCGGAUAACGCACAUAUGCUGGAAUGCUUUAUGCGUCAAAUGGAUUCGUCCGCCCAAGGAUGGGUCUGCGGCCUAUCAGGUAGUAGUGGGUGUAAUGUACCUACUAGCCUACGACGGGCACGGGUUGUGAGAGCAAGAGCCCGGAGAUGGAUUCUGAGACAUGAAUCCAGGCCCUACGGGGCGCAGCAGGCGCGAAAACUUUACAAUGCGGGAAACCGUGAUAAGGGGACACCGAGUGCCAGCAUCAUAUGUUGGCUGUCCGGGUGUGUAAAAUACACCUGUUAGCAAGGGCCGGGCAAGACCGGUGCCAGCCGCCGCGGUAACACCGGCGGCCCGAGUGGUGAUCGUGAUUAUUGGGUCUAAAGGGUCCGUAGCCGGUUUGGUCAGUCCUCCGGGAAAUCUGACGGCUUAACCGUUAGGCUUUCGGGGGAUACUGCCAGACUUGGAACCGGGAGAGGUAAGAGGUACUACAGGGGUAGGAGUGAAAUCUUGUAAUCCCUGUGGGACCACCUGUGGCGAAGGCGUCUUACCAGAACGGGUUCGACGGUGAGGGACGAAAGCUGGGGGCACGAACCGGAUUAGAUACCCGGGUAGUCCCAGCCGUAAACGAUGCUCGCUAGGUGUCAGGCAUGGCGCGACCGUGUCUGGUGCCGCAGGGAAGCCGUGAAGCGAGCCACCUGGGAAGUACGGCCGCAAGGCUGAACCUUAA
Molecule: ribosomal RNA, 839 nt
Filed under: uncultured archaeon
Lineage: Archaea
Description: bacterial SSU rRNA
Rfam family: Archaeal small subunit ribosomal RNA
Source: RNAcentral